UUCUUCCCCCCUCUCUCAAAAUAAAUAAAUAAAUGUUAAAAAAAUAAAAGACAGAAUAGUAUAAUGGAUAGAACACUGGCUUUGAGGUCAGAAGACCUAAGACUUGUAUUAAUUAAUUAGAUGUUUUAUUAUCUUCUUGAUUGCAAGUAAUAUUUUACAAGACUAUAUCUGUCUGCCUCAAGAUGUGGAUUUAAAUCCAGCGAGGAACUAAACUAUAUUCGCUGUUGUUUUGUAAACUGCACAGAGCUUCAGCUUUUUUACACACUGUGGAACUAUUUGUGAAACAGCACAUGUUGUAUAUGCCUGUCAGUGUCUUUGAAAGGGCAUCUGUCUGCAUGCAGAGUCAAUUUCCUGGUGUUAACCUGUUGCUCCCCUCCCCCCCCCACCGCCACCAAGAGGUGGCACAUUACUUGACACAUACUAGGUUCUCUAAAGUAUAAAAUAAUUGGCAUUUUAUUUUUUAAUUCACUGAGCAUAAUUAGCUGCAUUGGGUGAAUAUUUGUUUAUAUUUAUUUUUUGGAUUAUUCUACUACAUAUCAAAUGUCACAUUUUCCCAGCUAAAGUUUAUUUUGCUUUUUGAGUAGUUAUGAUUUUGAACUAUCAAGAGUCUGGUGUUCAUAUGUAAUAUAAAAUUUAAGCAAUUUUGAUAUAUAAAUAUAAAGAAAAGUUACAGAAUUAUUAAACCUUUGCAUUAUUCACUUGCAAAAAUGUUAAUCAUGCUUCACAUAAGGUUUGAAGGAGAAUUUGGGUUGUACCAACAAUUCUUACCUUUGGCUGAAACAAGCAACUUUUGUCCUACAUUUACUAAAAAAGGUCCAUUUUGGAACAACUAUGAAGAAUAGUUUGGAAUAUGCAAACUGCAUAUGCUGUGCUGUCUUACCUGUGAUACAAAUUUUGGUCCUUAGGCAUACCAGGAUAAUUAUAAUUUUAUCAUGUAGAAAAAAUGUAUACAAGUAGCCUAAUAGUACAUGAUGUGACCGUUUUACAUUGGUGGCGAUUGUAAUCAGUAACUGUUUUGUUUUCUUGGAUCAUGUCAUUUCAAAGCUGAUUUAAGAGUUUAGAAUUUGGUAACAGAGUUGGGUCUUAAGUCUACUGCUAACCAUUUAACAACCCCAUGGAAUUAGAAUUUAUAGGCUAGGAAAAACUGGAUUAGUAUCCAGGCAUAAUUAAAAUGAACAUGCGGAGAAUCCUACUGGUAGCCACUGUUAUGGUGAUAAAUUAUAUAUUUUCCUGUUGUGGCAUUUAUGAAUUAGGAAAUGAAUUUUAUCUACUUUUUAAAGAAAUUUAUUUCAGUGGUUUUUCUUAGAAUGGAGACUUCAGCAUGAACUACUUUAUCUGUUGUGGUUUGUCAGUGUUUAGGUGCCUAUCUUUUUGUCUCUUUCAAUAAAAGGGGCUGGGAAGGGUUUUGGAAGGCCCUCAGGAUCUGGAGAGAGUAUCAGGACCAAGUCUUGGUGGGAUUUAUGGCUUGCAGAUGGUGGGAUUUGGAGGAUAGAAGCUUCUUCAGAGAUGUGAAGAGGAAGUAAGCAGGGCCAGGGAUAGAGGCAAACAUCCAUUUACUGGUAACUGAAUCUACCAUGUAUUUUUAUAUUCUUCGAUUUUGUGUCUACCUGGAAUGAUUCCUCUCCUCCUCUACUUUGUCAGCUUACAAAAAAAUAAAACAAAUUUCUUUUUUUUUGAAUUACAAAAGUAAUUCAUGUCUAUUUAAAGAAAUUAAAAAUAUGGAAGUGUAUAUUCUGAGAUAACUACUUUUUAACAUGUUAGUAUAUCACUUUCCCUUUUUCUGUGCAUAUAACAACAAAAUGUUACAUCCAUUUUCAUUGCAUAUAAAAAACACACUAAUACUUGUAGGGGUUUUUUGUUUUUUUUUUUAAUACCAAAAUGCACUAUACCAUACCUGUUGUUCUGUAUUUGCUUUUUAAAUUUAUUUUGGAGGUUUUCCAGUGAGAAUUUAUUAUUUAUCUAGUUGUUUUUAAGGGCUGUGGAGUAUUCCACUAUCUGGAUUUGCCAUAAUUUAU
Molecule: long non-coding RNA, 2015 nt
Organism: Phyllostomus discolor (pale spear-nosed bat)
Lineage: Eukaryota; Metazoa; Chordata; Mammalia; Chiroptera; Phyllostomidae
Exons: 2
Source: RefSeq, a predicted model, not a curated record